Long non-coding RNA from Triticum aestivum (bread wheat), 602 nucleotides. RefSeq lists it as uncharacterized. The record is from RefSeq and is a predicted model, not a curated record. The transcript is spliced from 2 exons. NCBI's taxonomy places the organism in Eukaryota, Viridiplantae, Streptophyta, Magnoliopsida, Poales, Poaceae.
AGAUGUGGCAACCUUGGGCGAUUGGUUCAUUGGAAUUUGGAUUCUUCUAACCGAUGGCUUUUCUGAAGAGCAUUGCACUCACCAAUCUAAAGCCCUCAUUGUUGGUUUUGGCUCCAGCUAUUUGAGCUAAUGCAGAAGCAUGAUGUGUUGCCAAUCCUUGUGUCCUUUGUAUCUUCAUGCCGAUCGCAAGAGUUAGUUUCCUAUUUUAUGGUAAUAUUCUGAUAUUUUUAUGCGAUUCCUGAUGCUAGACAAGGAACGUGCGUAGGCUGAGGAUUCUAAGCUAGCCACCUUGUUUUCCUCACAUGGGGAUAUUGAUGUAUGAUGCGGAAGCAGGAAGUGUCGUCCAUGGCCUUUUGAUUGAUGCAAAAGUUGUUCAAUACUGUAGUAUGGACAUGCCUGAUUCAUGCAAUUCCAAUGAUUGCGUUUUGGAAAUUCUCUUCCUGUAGUAUUUGAGUUUAUGUCUACACUUACAUGAAGAGCAUCAGAUAUUUGUAAACCAUUAUUGUGCUUAGAAAGGUUCCUACAGAAAAAGAAUCCACUUAAGAAAGCAGAGCCGUUCGUGUGCUUCAUAUAAGCUAUAUACAUGCCAUCUCACCAAGCAC